UUGUCUCUUGAGCGCCCAGCGAGCGGGUAGAAUCGAGUUAGGGUUUCGGCGAGAGACCGCCUGAGCUUGGAGAGCUUUUCCUCGUUGGUGAGGAGGUCGUCUUUGGGGAAAAAGAGGAGGAGGGGCAUGAAGAUGGGGGGCGAGAUCUGGUCGAGGAAGGAGAGGCCAUGGCGGCGGAGGUUGGGAGGCGUCGGAGAAGACGGCUUGAUGGUCUCCGUGUGUUCUACUAUCACAUUCAUCGUUUGAACAGUGUUAUGAGAACUGUCUAGAGUGUUUGGGCUGGAGAUGGUGAUGAUCGAGUGCAAUGGGAAUUAUAUAGAGGACACUAAGGUCCUG
Molecule: long non-coding RNA, 336 nt
Filed under: Eucalyptus grandis
Lineage: Eukaryota; Viridiplantae; Streptophyta; Magnoliopsida; Myrtales; Myrtaceae
Description: long non-coding RNA (EGRA_LNC005304)
Source: RNAcentral